Gammaproteobacteria bacterium is the source of this 73-nucleotide non-coding RNA. The record is from Rfam. NCBI's taxonomy places the organism in Bacteria, Pseudomonadati, Pseudomonadota, Gammaproteobacteria.
GCCCAUAUAGCUCAGUCGGUAGAGCACUUCCUUGGUAAGGAAGAGGUCACCGGUUCGAAUCCGGUUAUGGGCU